GUCUAUACCCCUGGUAAACAAAUCUGCAGCAAACAGUGGCACCAUUAGGAUAUCAUAUGUCUUGCAUCUUCUACUACCAUUUUGCAGAAAAAUAAAAUUAUUACACUUCACCAGACUUCUAAGAUUACAUUGUAUCUCUCAAAGAUCAUCCAUCAUGAAAACAGAACCAUUCAAGUGACAAUACAAAUGUGGAAGCAUCCUCAAAAUUGUCAUGAAACAAGAAAAAGAACAACUGAUUUUAACCAUUUUGUACCUCCAGACUUCACCCCCUCUUUCACUCACUUAUUUUCCUCCUCACCUUGCAACACAGCUAUAAUAACCCACAGCUCCUCAAUUUGCCUAUUAUUUCUAUCCCUCUCUUUCUGAUAAAAACUCAAGGUUAGGUUUCAUAAGAUAGGUUGCACAAUAUUAGAGAGAAUUGUGAUUGUUACCUAUAAAUAAGUUGUAACGGAUGGGGUGCCGGACAUAGACUCAUGCAAGUAAAUCAGAAGAAGAAUAAAAAGGUUAUACCAUGAAUGCCCAAA
This 524-nucleotide unclassified non-coding RNA is filed under the name Hevea brasiliensis (rubber tree). Lineage: Eukaryota; Viridiplantae; Streptophyta; Magnoliopsida; Malpighiales; Euphorbiaceae. The record is from RNAcentral.